UACGACGGGGGCUAGCGUUGUUCGGAAUCACUGGGCGUAAAGCGCACGUAGGCGGAUUUGUAAGUCAGGGGUGAAAUCCCGGGGCUCAACCUCGGAACUGCCUUUGAUACUGCAAGUCUCGAGUCCGGAAGAGGUGAGUGGAAUUCCUAGUGUAGAGGUGAAAUUCGUAGAUAUUAGGAAGAACACCAGUGGCGAAGGCGGCUCACUGGUCCGGUACUGACGCUGAGGUGCGAAAGCGUGGGGAGCAAACAGG
Molecule: ribosomal RNA, 253 nt
Filed under: uncultured bacterium
Lineage: Bacteria
Description: partial 16S ribosomal RNA
Rfam family: Bacterial small subunit ribosomal RNA
Source: RNAcentral